UUAAGCGACUAAGCGUACACGGUGGAUGCCCUGGCAGUCAGAGGCGAUGAAGGACGUGCUAAUCUGCGAUAAGCGUCGGUAAGGUGAUAUGAACCGUUAUAACCGGCGAUUUCCGAAUGGGGAAACCCAGUGUGUUUCGACACACUAUCAUUAACUGAAUCCAUAGGUUAAUGAGGCGAACCGGGGGAACUGAAACAUCUAAGUACCCCGAGGAAAAGAAAUCAACCGAGAUUCCCCCAGUAGCGGCGAGCGAACGGGGAGCAGCCCAGAGCCUGAAUCAGUGUGUGUGUUAGUGGAAGCGUCUGGAAAGGCGCGCGAUACAGGGUGACAGCCCCGUACACAAAAAUGCACAUGCUGUGAGCUCGAUGAGUAGGGCGGGACACGUGGUAUCCUGUCUGAAUAUGGGGGGACCAUCCUCCAAGGCUAAAUACUCCUGACUGACCGAUAGUGAACCAGUACCGUGAGGGAAAGGCGAAAAGAACCCCGGCGAGGGGAGUGAAAAAGAACCUGAAACCGUGUACGUACAAGCAGUGGGAGCACAGAGCAAUCUGUGUGACUGCGUACCUUUUGUAUAAUGGGUCAGCGACUUAUAUUCUGUAGCAAGGUUAACCGAAUAGGGGAGCCGAAGGGAAACCGAGUCUUAACUGGGCGUUAAGUUGCAGGGUAUAGACCCGAAACCCGGUGAUCUAGCCAUGGGCAGGUUGAAGGUUGGGUAACACUAACUGGAGGACCGAACCGACUAAUGUUGAAAAAUUAGCGGAUGACUUGUGGCUGGGGGUGAAAGGCCAAUCAAACCGGGAGAUAGCUGGUUCUCCCCGAAAGCUAUUUAGGUAGCGCCUCGUGAAUUCAUCUCCGGGGGUAGAGCACUGUUUCGGCAAGGGGGUCAUCCCGACUUACCAACCCGAUGCAAACUGCGAAUACCGGAGAAUGUUAUCACGGGAGACACACGGCGGGUGCUAACGUCCGUCGUGAAGAGGGAAACAACCCAGACCGCCAGCUAAGGUCCCAAAGUCAUGGUUAAGUGGGAAACGAUGUGGGAAGGCCCAGACAGCCAGGAUGUUGGCUUAGAAGCAGCCAUCAUUUAAAGAAAGCGUAAUAGCUCACUGGUCGAGUCGGCCUGCGCGGAAGAUGUAACGGGGCUAAACCAUGCACCGAAGCUGCGGCAGCGACACUAUGUGUUGUUGGGUAGGGGAGCGUUCUGUAAGCCUGUGAAGGUGUACUGUGAGGUAUGCUGGAGGUAUCAGAAGUGCGAAUGCUGACAUAAGUAACGAUAAAGCGGGUGAAAAGCCCGCUCGCCGGAAGACCAAGGGUUCCUGUCCAACGUUAAUCGGGGCAGGGUGAGUCGACCCCUAAGGCGAGGCCGAAAGGCGUAGUCGAUGGGAAACAGGUUAAUAUUCCUGUACUUGGUGUUACUGCGAAGGGGGGACGGAGAAGGCUAUGUUGGCCGGGCGACGGUUGUCCCGGUUUAAGCGUGUAGGCUGGUUUUCCAGGCAAAUCCGGAAAAUCAAGGCUGAGGCGUGAUGACGAGGCACUACGGUGCUGAAGCAACAAAUGCCCUGCUUCCAGGAAAAGCCUCUAAGCAUCAGGUAACAUCAAAUCGUACCCCAAACCGACACAGGUGGUCAGGUAGAGAAUACCAAGGCGCUUGAGAGAACUCGGGUGAAGGAACUAGGCAAAAUGGUGCCGUAACUUCGGGAGAAGGCACGCUGAUAUGUAGGUGAAGUCCCUCGCGGAUGGAGCUGAAAUCAGUCGAAGAUACCAGCUGGCUGCAACUGUUUAUUAAAAACACAGCACUGUGCAAACACGAAAGUGGACGUAUACGGUGUGACGCCUGCCCGGUGCCGGAAGGUUAAUUGAUGGGGUUAGCGCAAGCGAAGCUCUUGAUCGAAGCCCCGGUAAACGGCGGCCGUAACUAUAACGGUCCUAAGGUAGCGAAAUUCCUUGUCGGGUAAGUUCCGACCUGCACGAAUGGCGUAAUGAUGGCCAGGCUGUCUCCACCCGAGACUCAGUGAAAUUGAACUCGCUGUGAAGAUGCAGUGUACCCGCGGCAAGACGGAAAGACCCCGUGAACCUUUACUAUAGCUUGACACUGAACAUUGAGCCUUGAUGUGUAGGAUAGGUGGGAGGCUUUGAAGUGUGGACGCCAGUCUGCAUGGAGCCGACCUUGAAAUACCACCCUUUAAUGUUUGAUGUUCUAACGUUGACCCGUGAUCCGGGUUGCGGACAGUGUCUGGUGGGUAGUUUGACUGGGGCGGUCUCCUCCUAAAGAGUAACGGAGGAGCACGAAGGUUGGCUAAUCCUGGUCGGACAUCAGGAGGUUAGUGCAAUGGCAUAAGCCAGCUUGACUGCGAGCGUGACGGCGCGAGCAGGUGCGAAAGCAGGUCAUAGUGAUCCGGUGGUUCUGAAUGGAAGGGCCAUCGCUCAACGGAUAAAAGGUACUCCGGGGAUAACAGGCUGAUACCGCCCAAGAGUUCAUAUCGACGGCGGUGUUUGGCACCUCGAUGUCGGCUCAUCACAUCCUGGGGCUGAAGUAGGUCCCAAGGGUAUGGCUGUUCGCCAUUUAAAGUGGUACGCGAGCUGGGUUUAGAACGUCGUGAGACAGUUCGGUCCCUAUCUGCCGUGGGCGCUGGAGAAUUGAGGGGGGCUGCUCCUAGUACGAGAGGACCGGAGUGGACGCAUCACUGGUGUUCGGGUUGUCAUGCCAAUGGCACUGCCCGGUAGCUAAAUGCGGAAGAGAUAAGUGCUGAAAGCAUCUAAGCACGAAACUUGCCCCGAGAUGAGUUCUCCCUGACUCCUUGAGAGUCCUGAAGGAACGUUGAAGACGACGACGUUGAUAGGCCGGGUGUGUAAGCGCAGCGAUGCGUUGAGCUAACCGGUACUAAUGAACCGUGAGGCUUAACCU
RNAcentral lists this ribosomal RNA (2902 nucleotides) under Escherichia coli. RNAcentral describes it as "bacterial LSU rRNA". It matches the Rfam family "Bacterial large subunit ribosomal RNA". The record is from RNAcentral. Lineage: Bacteria; Pseudomonadati; Pseudomonadota; Gammaproteobacteria; Enterobacterales; Enterobacteriaceae.